Molecule: long non-coding RNA, 381 nt
Organism: Phyllopteryx taeniolatus (common seadragon)
Lineage: Eukaryota; Metazoa; Chordata; Actinopteri; Syngnathiformes; Syngnathidae
Exons: 2
Source: RefSeq, a predicted model, not a curated record
AGUGAUUUCUAGGGCCAAGAGUUGUUACAAUGCUCCAGUCACGCAUGGAUCGCCACCUCCUCUUCCGCAUAUCAAGGCGCCUCCAAACGAGACUAUUGAGCCGCUUUUAAAAGGAAUGAAAGAGCCGCUUCGAAUGGACGGGAUUGAAAUCGGCGGUGAACACACCCAGUGUAGCCCGCCUUCUCGCAGUUACGCCAAGCGCAGCCCUGGUAUAGUGAUAUGCUCCCUCCGUGUCCCUCACUGAGUUGACUUCUUCCACCACGCCGCCAAGCCAGCCGCCUGUUCUCGCCACCGCCUGCCACACGUUCCCUGCCUCGAUGACCCGCCAGCUCAUCUCAAGGACCAUCUCCAUUACUUUUUUCAAUAAAUCUUUCAUCACAA